RNAcentral lists this ribosomal RNA (410 nucleotides) under uncultured microorganism. Its description in RNAcentral is "bacterial SSU rRNA". It matches the Rfam family "Bacterial small subunit ribosomal RNA", at positions 509 to 917 of the family's 1533-position model. The record is from RNAcentral.
CAGCCGCCGCGGUAAUACGUAGGUGGCAAGCGUUGUCCGGAAUUAUUGGGCGUAAAGCGCGCGCAGGCGGUCCUUUAAGUCUGAUGUGAAAGCCCCCGGCUCAACCGGGGAGGGUCAUUGGAAACUGGGGGACUUGAGUGCAGGAGAGGGAAGUGGAAUUCCACGUGUAGCGGUGAAAUGCGUAGAGAUGUGGAGGAACACCAGUGGCGAAGGCGGCUUCCUGGCCUGUAACUGACGCUGAGGCGCGAAAGCGUGGGGAGCAAACAGGAUUAGAUACCCUGGUAGUCCACGCCGUAAACGAUGAGUGCUAAGGGUUAGGGGGUUUCCGCCCCUUAGUGCUGCAGCUAACGCAUUAAGCACUCCGCCUGGGGAGUACGGCCGCAAGGCUGAAACUUAAAGGAAUUGGCGGG